AAACACUGGCGGCAGCCUACCAUGCAAGUCGAACGGAAGUUUAACGCUGACGAGACUUCGGUCAAAUCUUGUUAAACGUUUAAUGGCGGACGGGUAGACUAACGUCGUGGGCGACCUAGCCUCUAUCACUGGGAGGAUAACAGUUGCAAACGACUGUUCAUACCACAUAAGCGCGACAAAGUCACAUGACUCUAGUGUGAAAAACUCCGCGUGGGAUGAGAUGGGCCCGCGUCAGAUUAGCCAGUUGGCGGGGUAACGGCCCACCAAAGCGACGAUCUGUAUCCGGACUGAGAGGUCUGACAGCCACAUUGGAACUGAGACACGGCCCAAACUCCUACAGGAGGCAGCAGUGGGGGAUAUUGCACAAUGCAGGAAACUCUGAUGCAGCGACGCCGCAUGAGUGAAGAAGUAUUUCGGUAUGUAAAGCUCUAUCAUCAUGGAAGAAAGGCUCGUAUGAGAGAUGACGGUACCUGACUAAGAAGCCCCGGCUAACUACCUGCCAGCAUCCGCGGUAAU
Molecule: ribosomal RNA, 516 nt
Filed under: uncultured bacterium
Lineage: Bacteria
Description: bacterial SSU rRNA
Rfam family: Bacterial small subunit ribosomal RNA
Source: RNAcentral